This 686-nucleotide ribosomal RNA is filed under the name uncultured Actinomycetales bacterium. Its description in RNAcentral is "bacterial SSU rRNA". It matches the Rfam family "Bacterial small subunit ribosomal RNA", at positions 62 to 762 of the family's 1533-position model. Lineage: Bacteria; Bacillati; Actinomycetota; Actinomycetes; Actinomycetales. The record is from RNAcentral.
UCGAACGGAAAGGCCCUGCUUGCAGGUACUCGAGUGGCGAACGGGUGAGUAACACGUGGGUGAUCUGCCCUGCACUUCGGGAUAAGCCUGGGAAACUGGGUCUAAUACCGGAUAGGAGCCAUUUUUAGUGUGAUGGUUGGAAAGUCUUUUCGGUGUAGGAUGAGCUCGCGGCCUAUCAGCUUGUUGGUGGGGUAAUGGCCUACCAAGGCGGCGACGGGUAGCCGGCCUGAGAGGGUGGACGGCCACAUUGGGACUGAGAUACGGCCCAGACUCCUACGGGAGGCAGCAGUGGGGAAUAUUGCACAAUGGGCGCAAGCCUGAUGCAGCGACGCCGCGUGGGGGAUGACGGCCUUCGGGUUGUAAACUCCUUUCGCUAGGGACGAAGCUUUUUGUGACGGUACCUAGAUAAGAAGCACCGGCUAACUACGUGCCAGCAGCCGCGGUAAUACGUAGGGUGCGAGCGUUGUCCGGAAUUACUGGGCGUAAAGGGCUCGUAGGUGGUUUGUCGCGUCGUCUGUGAAAUUCCGGGGCUUAACUCCGGGCGUGCAGGCGAUACGGGCAUAACUUGAGUACUGUAGGGGUAACUGGAAUUCCUGGUGUAGCGGUGAAAUGCGCAGAUAUCAGGAGGAACACCGAUGGCGAAGGCAGGUUACUGGGCAGUUACUGACGCUGAGGAGCGAAAGCAU